This 5967-nucleotide long non-coding RNA is filed under the name Gossypium barbadense (sea-island cotton). RNAcentral describes it as "long non-coding RNA (GBAR_LNC007015)". Lineage: Eukaryota; Viridiplantae; Streptophyta; Magnoliopsida; Malvales; Malvaceae. The record is from RNAcentral.
CUUUGCUUUCUCCCUCAUUUUCUGUUUUCUUUUUCUUUUUUUUUUUCUUGAUUUCAGCCCUUCUGCACUUGGCACCCAACUCCCAGGAAGCUAAGUUAUUCCAAGGAUAUCAAAAGCUGACAGAGAAGCAUUCCACAUCCCCACCUGCGAGUGGUAACUUAUACCUCAUCUCUCUUUACUAUUACCACAUACCAUCUCAUUCUCAUUUUUUAUGAUUUCCGAACAUCUCCAAAUAUAUAUAUUAAAAAAAAACUUAGAAAAAACCAUAUAGGACACAUAUUCAUGUUCAACACAGUGAUACAGAUAAAUAUAUCUAUGUACGUAGGUAACUCCACAAGCAGUGCUGCAGAGAAGAGUGAUGGAGGAAUGGGAAAGAAGCGCGUGGGAGUAGUAGAGAUAGCUAUCGGAUUUUCACUAUGGGUUUUCAACAUACACCAAAACUCUGUUGUGUGAAUGAUAGAAGUUUACACACAGCUGCGGCUAUGUUUGUUAUAUCCAUAAUUUAAGAGUUUGGACCAGGAUCCAGUUAUGUUUUUAUCUUAAAAUCCUUUUUAGUUUGUCUUUGAUUUUUUUUUUUUUUGCAAUUAUAUAUUCUUAUAUUUAAUGUGUUGAUAUUCAUGGUGAGUAAGCACAUCAUUUUAUGAUAUGAAAAAGUUUUUUGGUUUGCACUUUUUAACUUUUAUUUGAACAGAGGUUGAGAGAGAACAAAAAUGGUAGAAGAUUAUUUUAUUUCAACUUCUAUUAUAACAGAGAAUGGAACAGAAAUCACGAUUCACAAAUCUUACACCUGCAGGUUGAACCUAUAUUAUUAUAAAUUACUUCAACAAAAUAUCUCACAAUAUAAUGAAUAAAACUUUCCAAGAAAUACCUAAAAAGAGUGUCAUAUAUAAUAGGAAAAUAAAGCACAAAAAGCUGAUCAAAGACAUUCCGAAACUGCACUCCAAGUGACAUCACGUUGUUGCCUAUUUAUAAGUUCAUUUUGUUGUUCAUCCAACCAAUUUUGAUAAGCAUCUAUCAUUGUUGAGUAUGAUUCCUAUUUUAGUUAAAUUUGAAAAAUAAUCUUUCAGUUAAAUUUUGUUUAUUUGUUUUAAUCAAAUUUUGAUUAGUCUAAAUUAUUUUAUUAUUAUUUGACCUAUGAAUUUAGCCUAUAAAUAGGUUUUUUUUAUAACCUUAAAAAAACACCCGUUAGAUAUUAGAACUCAAAACACUUUUAGAGAAUUUUGUGUUUAUGUCUUGAGGGUUCUUUGUUUUUUUGGGUUUCGGGGUUUAAUUUUUAUCUCCAUCUUUGUACUCUUCGUUCUUUUAUCAUUAUAGUAAAAUUAUCUUUGUCCAUAGGCUUUUAUCCUCUUUGGAGAGGUUUUUCUACGUUAAAUUUGUAUGUUCAAUUUCUCAAUUUCUUUCACUAUUUUUGCUUGUUCGCUGCUUAAUCGAGUCAAUCCUCAACAACUGGUAUCAGAACUAAUUUAAUUUUCAUAAAUUAGUCCGUUUAGAGAUGGCAACAACAAAGUUUGACAUUGAGAAGUUCGAUGGUGUCACAAAUUUCAAUUUGUGGCAAGUUUGGAUGAUGGUAAUUUUAGUUCAAACUAACUUGAAAAAGGUCGUUAUUGGGAAAAAGCUCAAGAAUCUAAAUCAAUCAGAAUGGGAAGAGCUUGAUGAAAAGGCCUUGUCUACAAUCCAGUUGUGCCUUGUGAAUAGGGUAUUGCAAGAGGUAUUGAUGGAGAAGACCUCAUCCGCCUUGUGAAAAAGGUUAGAAACUCUUUAUGGGACUAAGUCUCUGGCUAACUGUUAGGGUUGAAACAAUAUUUAUUUACGUUUCGCAUGAACGAAUGUGAGCUUCUUAGAGAACACAUCAGUCAAUUCAUUACCCUUUUAAAUGAUUUAAAUAACAUUGAGGUCCAGAUUAACAAUAAAGAUCAGGCUAUGCUAUUAUUAUGUUCUUUACCCCCUUCAUACAAGUUUUUCAGGGAUAUCCUGAUUUUUGACAGAGACAAACUCUCGUUCGAGGAUAUGAAGGGUCAUUUUUUAAGUAAAGACAAACUCGACAAUGAGUUUGGUUCGGAUAGCAAGGCAGAUAGACAAGCUUUUGUUUUGGUAGCAUCAAAGAAGCGAGACUAAAGGUGUCGCUAUUAUAAGAAGUUAGGUCACGUUAGGUCACGUCAAAGCAUAUUGUUAUAAACUGUGAAAUAAAAGGGCUGUUAAGAGUAACAAGGAAAAUGUAGCUGGUGCUAAUUUGGUCGACGAAAGCGAUGAUGAUUUCUUGCUAGUGUCAAUGAGAGAAAGCUUAAGUCCGAGUGGAUCCUAGAUUCAGGAUGUUCUUUCCACAUGUGUCCCAAUAGAGAAUGGUUCUCCACGUACAAUUCUGUUGAAGAUGGAGUUGUGCACAUAGGAAACGAUUCAUCCAAUAAGGUAAUUGGUAUUGGUACUGUUAAAAUUAGGAUGUAUGAUGGGACGGUUAGGAAACUCUCAGAUAUCAGGUAUAUACCUAAUUUACGAAAGAAUCUCAUUUCAUUGAGUAUUUUAGACUCAAAAGAUUGCAGAAUCAACAUCGAGUCGAGCAGCAUUAAGGUGUCUCGUGGGGCUCUCAUUUUGUUAAAAGGUAAAAGAACCGGUAGUCCUUAUAUUUUGGAAGGUUCUAUAGUGACCGGUGAAAUCGGACGUCUUUCGUCCGUUAUGGGGUUGAAUUCAACUCGUUUGGAGUGGAGACAACUUGGUCGUAGGAGGGAAAAAUAUUUGACCGUUUCAUUGAAGAAAGGUUCUCUUUUGGAUGCAAGUUUUGAAAAGUUAGGGCACUAUGUUCGUGAAAAUCAAACCCGGGUUAGUUUUAAUUUAGCAGUGUACAAGUUGAAGGCUAGAAGUCUUCCAAUUUCUAAGCACAGAUUUGACUCAGUUAAUUCCCUGCAUAGUUCAAUAUAAGCCCGUGGCAGGUUUUGGCAAAGAUGACGUUGUGGAAAUAUGAGUCAAUGUGGAGAUUUGUUGAGUAUGACUCCUAUUUUAGUCAAAUUUGAGAAAUAAUCUUCCAGAUAAACUCUGAUUAUUUGUUUCAAUCAAAUUUUGAUUAGUCUAGAUUAUUUUAUUAUUGUUUAACCUAUGAAUUUAGCCUAUAAAUAAGCUUUUUUACAACAUUAAAAUAACAGCUAUUAGAGAUUAGAACUCAUAACACUUUUGGAGAAUUUUAUGUUUACGUUUUGAGUGUUCUUUAUGUUUUUCGUGUUUCGGGGUUUAGUUUUUAUCUCCAUCUUUGUACUAUUCGUUCUUUUGCCAUUAUAAUAAAAUUAUCUUUUACCUACGGUUUUUUAUCCUCUUUGGAUAGGUUUUUCCACGUUAAAUUUGUGUGCUCAAUUUCUUCUGCUAUUUUUACUUAUUCAUUACUUAAUUGGGUCGAUCCCUAACAAUCAUAAUAUUGAAUGUUGGUUUUAUCUUUUAAAAUUAUCUUGAAUAAUUAUCUCAUAAAAGCUUUCAUAAGAAUAAGGUUAAUAAUCUUCAACAUUUUAAACUUCUUCCUUCUCCUCCAAAUGAGUCGAUUGAAAGAUGAUGAUCAUAACAUGCAUUAACAUGAAAUUAUUUUCUUAUUUGCUACUCAACAAUAUUAAGUCAUAAGUUGUAAAGUCAAACAUGUCAAUUCAAAAACAUUGACUACACAAUACUAUUGUUAUAUGUGUUGUUCAAACAUGAAGAGAUGCGGUCCAAGUUCUGCCAUGAUAUAUCAUCAUUAUAUAAUUAAAAUCACUUAAAUUUGUAUUUAAUGAUUAUGAUCAUUUUAUUUACCGAUAAUACAUAGUAGAUUAAAAUAAGCUUUAAGUUUAAUUUUUAACAUUUGGAAUUUAAUUUUAUUAUUUUUUAUUUAUAAGAAUUUAAAUUUUUUUACUUUUUAAAUCUAGUUGUUAAAAUUUUCCUGUUAAAUUCACUUAGAAAUCACAUAAUAAAAAAAAUAAGUUUGUAAUAAAUCUAAAUAAAAAAUAAAAUUUCAAUGAUGCUAACAAUCCAACAUAUAUUUUUAAAAUAGAGAUUAAAUUCAAAAGUAGAAAUGUUUAAAAGCAUAUUUUAAGCAAGAUAGAAUUAUAAUUUCGUGUUCAUCCCGGCUCUCAAAGGAAAUCCAGGGACCCACAUGGAUUAAUUGGUAUGGUUGGCUGGAUAAUAGAUCAAAAUCAAUGAAGAUGAGACAUUUAAAUUCCAAUUAAUACGACAGCGUGGUGGUAGGUCUACCGGAAUUUAUUUAUUUUUAUUGUUUUGUUCCAAAUGGUGUUCACUGAGCUGAGCAUUCGAUUCAACUUGAAAACGUUUAGAAUUCGUUGUGUUGAGAAAUUUUAUUAUUUUUAAUUAAAUUCAAGUUAACUUCAAUAAAAUUUAAAAUUUUUUUAAAUAUAUUAUAAAACAAGCCAUUUAAAAUCUUAUCAGAAAUUUAAUAAUCUGUUGGGUUGGACCAUUAACUUUUCAACUUGUUUUAAUUAUUGAUUAGCUAGAAACUAAUUAUAUUUUAUACUUUUUACUUUGUAAUAAAGAGACUUAUUUUAAAAAUAUUUUAUUUUUAUAAUAAUUUUUACUCAUAUUUUUAAUUAUACAUUUUAAUUUAUAUAAAUUAUUUUACAACACAUAUAUUAAAAUAUAUAUUUUUAAUCAUAUUAUGACUCUAACAACCAAACCUCCAUGUUUAGCCAUUGUAAAGUAAUACACUAACCCAACAAUUAAUGAGUUUCUGACUUCAUUAAAAUUCCACACACACAAAAAAGUUAAAUCAUAAUUAAUUAUUCAAAUUAUUUGAAUAAUUCAAAUUAUAUAAUUAGAAAAUAUUUAGUAUACACACAAAUAAAAUAAAGAGGUAGAUAAAUGUCGUAUAAGAUAUAGUAAAUUAUUAAAAACAUAUAUUUAAAAAACAUUCAUUUUUUAAAAUUAUGUGUAGAAUAAAAAAAAAUAUACCAAAUAUUUUCCCUUUCUUUAAAUUAAUGAAAAAACUUAAUAAUUUAAACUAUUUAAUUUAAAGUUUUAAUCAAAAUAAUGAAAUCAAGUAAAGAUUUUGCUCACGCUGAAUAAUAUUGUGCAAGGUUGUAGCAUUUUUCAAACAUCUUUAAAUUUUAAUGUAGUAGAAGAAAAUGACGUGUAAAAAAGCCUGGUAGGGCAUUGAGAGCCGGCCAUUACAAUUACAUUUGCCUACUUGCGUGAUAAGCAUAAACAACUAAAAUACGAACAACACAUGAACAUGGAAAAAAAUAAGUACCAUAGAAAUUUUAGUGCUCUAUAUAGUUGUUAAUAAAUCUUACAAUUGGAUAUAAAAUAACAAUAUAAAGAGAAAAAAGAAAAAAGAAAAAAACCCUUGAAAGGAUGAUUGAAGGUUAUGGAGCUAAGUCCCGUUUGUCUGAUGAUCAGUUUACCAAAAAAGUACGUCUUAACGAUAAGGAUAUUGAUUCAGAUUUAGUUUUGGCCGUCGACUUGGUGGUUGAACCAACGAUAUCUUGGAAAGAUAAAUUGGUGAGUAAAGGCCUUGGUGGUUCGAGGGGGGAGAUCGAAGCGUUAUGAGCGAAAUUGGAAGAGGAGUUUGAUUUUCAAGAGGGAGAUAUCACAAGCUUGAUUGUGAAUAGUAUCCCUUUGGUUGUUUAAUUGGAGAGAGUCCAUUUUUUUAUCAAAGACAUGGUUAAUAUAGUGCUCAUCAAACUAGUGGGUAGGACCACAGGGUUUGUUGCUUUGCAGAACAAAAUCUACAACAUGUGGAAGCUUUUUAUGUUGAUCAAAACGAUAGAAACUAAAAAUGGUUAACUUUUUAUUAGAUUCCAAAGCAAGGAGGACUAUGAAAGAGUGCUUUCACAAGGGUUGUGGAUCAUUUUUUGUUCAGUACCUGACGGUACAACCGUGGUUCUUGGAGUUUAACCCUACACAGCCAUUCCCAAGCGUUGUCAUGGCUUGGAUCCGCUUUCCAGGGUAUAUGUACAAAUAAAAGGUAUUAUGGGAGAUUAGAGAGAUGGUGGGAAAAGUGAC